UUGGAUGUUGACCUAGUUCUGUGUGGAAGACUAGUGAUUUUGUUGUUUUUAGAUAACUAAAUUGACAACAAAUCACAGUCUGCCAUAUGGCACAGGCCAUGCCUCUACAG
This 110-nucleotide microRNA precursor is filed under the name Carlito syrichta (Philippine tarsier). RNAcentral describes it as "microRNA 7-1 (ENSTSYG00000020121.2)". The stretch from base 9 to 99 matches the Rfam family "mir-7 microRNA precursor family". Rfam says of the family: This family represents the microRNA (miRNA) precursor mir-7. In this case the mature sequence comes from the 5' arm of the precursor. The extents of the hairpin precursors are not generally known and are estimated based on hairpin prediction. Lineage: Eukaryota; Metazoa; Chordata; Mammalia; Primates; Tarsiidae. The record is from RNAcentral.